AGUGAACGCUGGCGGUAUGCCUAACACAUGCAAGUCGAACGGCAGCACAGUAAGAGCUUGCGCUUACGGGUGGCGAGUGGCGGACGGGUGAGGAAUACAUCGGAAUCUACUUUUUCGUGGGGGAUAACGUAGGGAAACUUACGCUAAUACCGCAUACGACCUACGGGUGAAAGCAGGGGAUCUUCGGACCUUUCGCGAUUGAAUGAGCCGAUGUCGGAUUAGCUAGUUGGCGGGGUAAAGGCCCACCACGGCGACGAUCCGUAGCAGGUCUGAGAGGAUGAUCAGCCACACUGGAACUGAGGCACGGUCGCGACUCCUGCGGGAGGCAGCAGUGGGGAAUAUUGCGCGAUGGGCGCGAGCGUAAUCCAGCCAUACCGCGUGGGUGAAGAAGGCCUUCGGGUUGUAAAGCCCUUUUGUUGGGAGAGAAAAGCAGCAGGUUAAUACCCCGCUGUUCUGACGGUACCCAAAGAAUAAGCACCGGCUAACUUCGUG
Molecule: ribosomal RNA, 492 nt
Filed under: uncultured bacterium
Lineage: Bacteria
Description: partial 16S ribosomal RNA
Rfam family: Bacterial small subunit ribosomal RNA
Source: RNAcentral